CCAGGGCAGCCAGGGAAGGCGCCCAAUUCCCACCAGCUGAUGAACUGGCCCCCAGGAGAAAGCCCAGGGUAGGAGACGAAAGGCUGUGGAUUCCUCCUAUAUAGACACCUGAUCUGCGGAAGGGAGGAGAGGCUGAACCGGAGCUUACGCUCUGAGCCUAGAGACUGACCCCUGUCAUCAGUGGCAUUGCCUCCCUCGAGGAAAUACUUGACUUGGAAAAGCAGAAAGAAGAGAGAGCUGCAGACAAAACACCUAUUGUUAGUGAGAGCAGCCUGUUGAGACGUUGUGGCAGAAAAUGCUUACAAAGCAGAUAUUGAUCCAUCUCACAGGUGAAAGGUAUAAUUAGGCAUGCAGUCAAGGCCUGCAAGAUCCAAGACAAGAUCUUCUGAUGAAGGAAGGCCCUUGAUACGUCAAAGGGUGCAGGAAGCACAUGUAUGAAAUCAAUAGAGUGCAUCAGAGCUGAUAAUAAUGACAGAAGAUUGAUUAUACUGCAAAUGAUAGAACGAUUCCCUGGGAAGUUCCAGCAAUAAAGUCUCUGUCUUCCGGAGAUGACCUUCUGACUAUCUCAAAUAAGAAAAGAUUUAUGACAAGAAAUUUCUUGGGCUUGGUCUUGAGUGGAAGGUCUGGGAAAGUGCUACAGAAAAUAAGCAGUCUGAAUCUUCAGCUUGCGAAAACAAAGAAGAUAUUCAUCCCUGCCGGCGGUUCCCCCAACACGUCCCAGCUGCGUGUCCCCGGCCAUUGGGCACCACACCUGGGCCCCCACCACAGCUGCUCCCCCCAGCAGUGCCUGGGAAAGGCACCACGAGCCCUCUCUGAGGUCGGCACAGAAAUGACGCAGCUCAAAACUCUGCGUGCUGGGCAGCCGUGGAGAAAGCUGAUUCACACUGGGGCUGGGGCUGUCACAGGUCCUCAAGGAAGGCGCCAUCUCACAGGGCUGCAGUCAUCUCUGGGGCCUGGCACAGCAGAAGCUGCAGCUCAUUUUGAGGCGUGAAUAUUUCUGUAAUAAUAGUAAUAAUCCAGUUUGCCCCAAAUUUGCAGUUUCUGCUCAAACCAAAGUUCAUGGGAAACUUUUCUGGGAAAGAGGUCAAUCAUAUGUUUAAAGGAGGGGGGGAAAAAAACUUGCUGUGUGAGUUCACCUGCUUGCGAAGGACGUGAAAGAGUCAAAAGUGAAUGCACUGUACCGCUCAGCAUGCUGUGCUGAGGCAGAGCAGACAUGGUGGUGUCUCCAAGGAGUGCCAAGUUACCCAAUGUCUGCCUUCUGAGCUAGCAAGCAAUCCUCCUCCGGCUUUCUGUGGCUUUCUUUGGAGAGUUUUGGAGAAUUUUGUGCAUGAAGAAUGUCGAGAGCAAUAAAACAAACUCCUCUACUCUGCAUCGCUUGAGCAAGGAAUACAUUUUCUUCUCAAGGCAUUGUGCUGAUGGAUAGAUCCCUCACUAACGACACAGUACUGUUCCAGAUCCUCAAGCCUGAGCACCACAUAUCCUUUCAUUUCCAAUUGGAGUAAACAUUAUCAUUUAAUUUUUCAUCAGUAAUAACAUUUUCUUAAACUAACCUGUUCCACUUUGACUAAACAGAGACCUGAAAGGUGUUGUUCAGAUUUUUUGUGGGGGGAAUGGUUUUGGCCAGGUUCACAGACGAAAACAAGUAGAGAAUAACAUUCAGGCCUUAUGAAAGUAGCUGCUUCACAGAUUUAAUCUCAAAGUAGUAAUCCUCUCAAGGUUUCAGGUAUACCCAAAUCCUUCUGGAGUAAUAGGGAUCCGACCAAGGCAGCAGACAGGGACGGCUGUAGCAGAGAAAUAGUCCUUCUAGUUUUGAGUUUGAGCUAAAGGCAUAACCUUGAAAUUCAGCUCCAAACACCUUCGGUACCAAAUAAUGCUAUGUAGGCCUGGUUGUAAAUCCCAGUUUCCAGUGAGCAAUGACAACUCAGUGAAACGUCUGCAGUAACUUUUUUUAAUGUCGGCAAGUAGCUGAGUCUCCCUCCCUCUCCCAUCUCGCAAUCUCAUUCUCAUAAAUGUUUCCAUUCUAGCAGAAUUUUUUCCCAGAAAAAGCAACCUCGUAGCAGACGCUCAACAUUUCAGCUUGAAUUGUUUGGCAAAGUGAUAAGCAACUGAAAGUAGCACUUUUUAAUGGGAAAAAGUGUUGCGCAGCAGUCUCUGUACCACUCAUUAUUUUAAUCUGUUUGUCUAGCUGUGGUAUUACCAAGGCAUGUAUUACUGUAAUAUUUAGGGCACAAGCUCAAUGUCCAUUUAUUUUUCCAGCCUUGCUGCAAAGAUUUAGCAAAAUGAAAAGGGAAGAUUUCCUUGUCCCUCAUGCUUGGUAUAUACAGGUUUGGCAUCCCAGAUAAAGCGUAUUGUCAAAGAGAGGGGUCCUUUUGGGAACUCGAUACUUCCCUAGAGCCCCAAAUGGUCUAUUUGAAACAUGUGCUGAAACUCUGUGCCUGGUGGUGUUUUAGUUACACAUGCUAAGACUAGAAUAAUUGAGACUCCUCCUUGUGACUGUAAUUUGGAUUUCUUUCACCUCAUGCCCUGGUGAUGGAAUGCAUUACUCACAAACUAAUUAGAGCAUCUGAAUUUAUACAUCAUUAUUGAUGUCUUUGUUUCUUGCCAAAAUAGGUUUGGUGUUUUACAAAGCAUGAAAGUGGGCAGCGCCUGCCCCAAGGAAAGGUUGACAUGCACACAAGAGGUGUUGGCUUGAACAAAGCUACUUUAAUGAUUGAUGGAAAAAAUAUUUGGAGGAGAAACAAAGCUUCUUUUCCUUCCAGAUGUAAUUAGAUGAGAAACACAAGAAAGCAAUUGUGGAUCUAGAUUGUGGCAGAUAAGGAACAUUCAGUAGUGCUAGGUACGUAGUGGAGCGGGCUACGGUCAUGUCCACACCUGAUCAAGAAAGGUGAAUUCAGACCAGACCAGGACAGAGAAGGGCUGAUGGACCCAAAGGAUAAGGUCAUGGUUAACCUAUCCCAAGUGAGAACACCUGGAGACUAUGGCCUCACAAAUGAAGUCAGAAGUAUGACAAGAACAGGAAGGGUGCAUGGCAGUGUGGGCUGUACAAAACCGCUGGGAACAGCUGCACAUGAUUCUUCAGGAGCUAUUUAAGGUGAAUAAUGCUGAUAUGCUGAUAGAAGGAUUAAUGGGGAGUUAGUAGACUUGGAGAUAUUUAAGCUAGACAUCAGAAGCCUGGCAGCAUGAGGAGUCUGCAACAACCUUCCCGUGGAAGAGAGCAGAAGGGUGGGGGCAGGGUUGUAGGAUGGAACCCAGCCCAGCACGAGGCCAGUGAUAUGAUGCAGACCCCAGAGAAAUGGGGUCAGCAUUGGUGGAGUCCCUUCCAAUACUGAUUUUUUUUAAGAAAUGGGCAGGAACUGCUAACCUGUCAAGCUGUAUUCCCUUGAAAGACAAAGGAUAUUCUACACAAGAUAUGCUACUCGUAUUUCAUAUGUUGCAUUAUGUUACAGGGGAUACAUUACACCCAAGCUUGUCCUAAUACCAGUUUUUCCACCCUAUGUAUAGGGGACACAACUCAGUGAUGUAUCUCCCAGUUCCAGUGAAUUUACUAAUCUAUUUUUCCCAGCAGUUUUUCUGAAAUCUGAUUGCUACCUUCUCUAUCUACAUGAACCAAAGGUCUAAUGCAAGUCUACUGAACUUGAGGAACAGAGGCUGAAGCAACUUGUUGAAGAAGGCCUUGGAUGCUCUCUUAUUUUGCAAGGCCUGUUCUGCCCACCCGUAAGUAGGGAGAGUCAAGAACGAGACUAAUACUUCUCUCUCCUUCUUACUUCUUCUCCCUUUGGUGGAAGCACCUAGCCUUUCUCAGUACACAUGAGCUUUGAUUUCAUCCAUUUCCUCCUUGCAAGACAUAAGAAAAACUUUAUACGUCUCCUCCUCCUCCGUAUUAGCCAUGAAUGGUUAAUCACAAUCUCUCCUUCCAUUAGCAGAAAGGAAAGAAUCCGUUUUCAGAUAUUUCCCUUCAUAUUUCAUUUGCUGUAAUUAAACUAUUCUUUCAGUGUCCUUGGAAACGAAAUAAAUUAACUACAGUAACAGCAUAUACUUUCUCCCCUUGUUAUGGGUAAAAUGAUACUCACCACAUCAGC
Struthio camelus australis is the source of this 4079-nucleotide long non-coding RNA. RefSeq lists it as uncharacterized. The record is from RefSeq and is a predicted model, not a curated record. Lineage: Eukaryota; Metazoa; Chordata; Aves; Struthioniformes; Struthionidae.